UAAAAAAAAUAAUAUGGGCAGUAGUCAUCUCAAGCUUUUCAUCCUCUGUUUUCCAUUAUUCGCUGAAACCAAUUUUCAUUGCCUGAAGGGCUCUCUUUUCACAACCAGUUAACAAAUCACAACAUUGCACAUUCUCUAUCGAAGGCUGAAUUGUUUUGAUCAUUUGUUGGAGCCCCGAUCCGACGGGGUGGCGGUGGCCCGAAACAAUCGGGUCUAUAUCCGAUUGUAAAUCAAAAAGACAUAAUAAUAAAAAUAAGCGGAAUCGAAAAACAAAUACAUACAAAUAGACAAUCCCAUAUAUCAUCACUCAAAUUCCCACGCCAAAUUGGAUUUUAUAUAUAGUCAAUUGUUUUUACAAAUUAAUAUAUCAAAAAUAUACAAUAUAUAUUUCUUCAUCGUUGUUCGUGAUUGCAUCCCCAGUACUUACUUCUCCAUCGUUUUAAUCCUCCAACAAACUAUCACGGUGGAACUUCAGUAUUUAUUGAGUUAGGAGUGUUGUUUGAAGAUGUUAUAGCUUUAUUGUCUAAAUUUCCGGGGGCAGUUUUGUCCCAUGGGGCUCGCUCUAUAUUUUUAGCGGCCCAUGGUUGGCAAAGCAUGCUCUGCGGUUAGACGAUGAGCUAUCCUGGUUCGAGGAGGUUCCAGCGCUGGUGGCGGACGUGGGCGUCGUAAAUUCAUGAGUGAUUUAGAUCACUUUGUCAAAAAAAAAA
Long non-coding RNA from Cannabis sativa, 707 nucleotides. RefSeq lists it as uncharacterized. The transcript has 3 exons. The record is from RefSeq and is a predicted model, not a curated record. NCBI's taxonomy places the organism in Eukaryota, Viridiplantae, Streptophyta, Magnoliopsida, Rosales, Cannabaceae.